Molecule: long non-coding RNA, 1100 nt
Filed under: Piliocolobus tephrosceles (Ugandan red Colobus)
Lineage: Eukaryota; Metazoa; Chordata; Mammalia; Primates; Cercopithecidae
Description: lncRNA (ENSPTEG00000004587.1)
Source: RNAcentral
CUGUUUUUUUUUUUUGUUUUUUAAUUUUAAUAACUCCUUUUAUUUGAAUUGUUAAAAAAAAAAAACAUUUUUUUUCUUUUCAUUUAUUUUGUUGUUUUUCUUGAAAGAAUGGGAAAUAAUAGUACUCUUAAUGAAGGUGGAAAUACAUUGAUUACAUUUUUUAAGAAUGCAUUACUAUUAAUAGAUAAUAAUAUGAGUAACAUGGGUAGGAUGUGCACCAAGCAGUUGUAUUACUUAAGAAACACAUUUAAAACUAUAAAUGACAGUCGAACUCAUUUACUAUACUGCAUUCUUGUGUGUAUUUUUGUACUAACUCCUAGCUGUUAUAUAAUACUAAAGUGUAUUUAUAAAUAUGAGACAAAUAGGUCUUCAAAAAAUGGAAAAAAGGGUAAAUACAAUGAGCAAAAAGAAAGGAUAUUAAGAAAGUCGCAUAGGAUUAAAGAAUUACAUGAUAAAAUAAAAAACCAAAUGAUGAAUAGUAUAGUAGAAAAAGGUGCACAUAAAAAUGAACAUGAACAUAUACAGGGGAAAAAUAGCAGAAUGAAAAAGGGAAGGACAAGUAACAGUAGAAAUGAAAAUAUGGAUUAUCAAAGUGGUGACAAUUCUAAUAAUAAUAAACAUAAUAAAAAAGAAAAAAACGAAAAUAAUAAAAAUGAAGGUAAUCAAAAGAAUGGAAAUAAUCAAAAGAAUGGAAAUAAUCAAAAGAAUGGACGUAAUAAAAAAAAUGGAGAUAUUAAAAAAAAUGGAGAUAUUAAAAAAAGUAAUAUAAAUUCACAAUCUUCGAUCAAUCAAUCUGCUGAGCAUGCGUAUUCAUUACGAAACGAAUUGGAUGGUCAUAAAAAUAGAAAAAGUAGUUUGAUAAAGGAUCAGAGCAAACAUAUAAGUUCAAAAAGAAGCAGAAGUAAAAAAAAUUCUACUCAGCAUGAAGAAGUUAUAACGUCACCCAUUACUGAAAGAGGUAGGAAUUUACGAAACAUGUCAAAAAAGUAAAAAAAAAAAAAACACACACAUUCAAAAAUAAUCAUGGAAAGGAUAAAGACGUUAAAGAAAGAUCGUAUACGUUGCUGCGACAACUUUAUAAAAGUAUAUCCUGCUUAUAA